RNAcentral lists this unclassified non-coding RNA (206 nucleotides) under Hevea brasiliensis (rubber tree). Lineage: Eukaryota; Viridiplantae; Streptophyta; Magnoliopsida; Malpighiales; Euphorbiaceae. The record is from RNAcentral.
AAAAAAAAAAAAAAAAAAAAGCGCAAAGCGCAAAGAGCCUCAACUUCAAUGUCAACAAUUCAACAUUCGAAGAUGUUGAGAUUGAUUUAGACGAAGAUAUUGAUGGAAAUGGUUUUGGAGAUGAGGAUGAAAAUGUUGAGGGCUUGAGGGAAGUCUAAUGAAGAUCUUUAGGUUAUGACUAUAAAUUUGAAUGCUAAAAACUUUGG